This 443-nucleotide ribosomal RNA is filed under the name uncultured bacterium. RNAcentral's name for it is "partial 16S ribosomal RNA". It matches the Rfam family "Bacterial small subunit ribosomal RNA", at positions 338 to 795 of the family's 1533-position model. The record is from RNAcentral.
CCUACGGGUGGCAACAGUGGGGAAUAUUGGGCAAUGGGCGCAAGCCUGACCCAGCAUCGCCGCGUGAAUGAAGAAGGCUUUCGGGUUGUAAACCUCUUUUCUCAGGGACGAAGCAAGUGACGGUACCUCAGGAAUAAGCCACGGCUAACUACGUGCCAGCAGCCGCGGUAAUACGGAGGUGGCAAGCGUUAUCCGGAUUUACUGGGUGUAAAGGGCGCGUAGGCGGGGACGCAAGUCAGUUGUGAAAACCACGGGCUCAACCUGUGGCCUGUAUGUGAAACUUUGUUUCUUGAGUACAGGAGAGGCAGACGGAAGUCCUGGGGUAGCGGUGAAAUGCGUAGAUAUUAGGAGGAACACCGGUGGCGAAGGCGGUCUGCUGGAGAGCAACUGACGCUGAGGCGCGAAAGCGUGGGGAGCAAACAGGAUUAGAUACCCUAGUAGUC